GUAGGGGAACCUGCGGCUGGAUCACCUCCUUUCUAAGGAUGAUCCUUCAGCGAGCUCACGCUCACUAUCGGAUCGUUUUAGAAACAUCAGUGGCCAACAGAUCGCCAGAUCGUUGAGCUGCAUUGGCGGGAUUUCGCCGUCUUCGUUUCUCUUUCUUUGCGGACGAACACGCGCUGGGCUUGCAUCAUGCAGGAUCCCACGGUCCCUGACGGGAUAUGCGUUAGGGGCUUGUAGCUCAGUUGGUUAGAGCGCGCGCUUGAUAAGCGUGAGGUCGGAAGUUCAAGUCUUCCCAGGCCCACCACUUUCAUCGAGUGAGCAUUCGUCUUCUGGUUACGGGGCCAUAGCUCAGCUGGGAGAGCGCGUGCUUUGCAAGCAUGAGGUCGUCGGUUCGAUCCCGUCUGGCUCCACCAGAUGGUUUGAUCACCGAGAUCUUGCACCGUCGUCCGCGAAACAUCACUUCGCAUCCUGCUAGUCUGGAUAGACAGCAAGAUGCGUGUUUUCUGACAUCGUAAAGAGGAGAUCGAUCCGAGUUGGGUCGUGCAGCAGAUUGUUGCGCGAAUCCUUCAUUAUCUCCGGAUCAUUUUCGGCGCUCGCUUUCAGCCGUGAGGUUGAAUGCGAGUUGUAAAAUGAUCCUUUUAGCGAAGCUUGACCGCCUCGCUAUCGGAACGAUCUUACGAAGCAAGCUGGUCUUUCUAGUCAAUGUCCGGCUGCACGUAGCAUUCAUCGAGGGUGCGCGCCGUAAGGCAAUCGUGCAGACAACAUUCUGCCGAGUGUGUGGACAUUGAUAAUGAGAGC
This 795-nucleotide transfer RNA is filed under the name Bradyrhizobium sp. KO20A. Its description in RNAcentral is "partial contains 16S rRNA and ITS1". The stretch from base 225 to 298 matches the Rfam family "tRNA". The record is from RNAcentral. Lineage: Bacteria; Pseudomonadati; Pseudomonadota; Alphaproteobacteria; Hyphomicrobiales; Nitrobacteraceae.